UACAGAGGUCUCAAGCGUUGUUCGGAUUCAUUGGGCGUAAAGAGCUCGUAGGUGGUUCGGUAAGUCGGAUGUGAAAUCUCCAGGCUCAACCUGGAGGGGUCAUUCGAUACUGCCGUGACUAGAGUUCGGUAGGGGAGUGUGGAAUUCCUGGUGGAGCGGUGAAAUGCGCAGAUAUCAGGAGGAACACCCGUAGCGAAGGCGGCACUCUGGGCCGAUACUGACACUGAGGAGCGAAAGCGUGGGGAGCGAACAGG
RNAcentral lists this ribosomal RNA (254 nucleotides) under uncultured bacterium. RNAcentral's name for it is "partial 16S ribosomal RNA". It matches the Rfam family "Bacterial small subunit ribosomal RNA", at positions 524 to 776 of the family's 1533-position model. The record is from RNAcentral.